CGAGGGAAUAUUGGGUCAAUGGGGCGCAGGCCUGAACCAGCCAAGUCGCGUGAGGGAGGACGGUCCUACGGAUUGUAAACCUCUUUUGUCGGGGAGUAACGUGCGGGACGCGUCCCGUAUUGAGAGUACCCGAAGAAAAGCAUCGGCUAACUCCGUGCCAGCAGCCGCGGUAAUACGGAGGAUGCGAGCGUUAUCCGGAUUUAUUGGGUUUAAAGGGUGCGCAGGCGGCGCGCCAAGUCAGCGGUCAAAGUUCCGGGCUCAACCCGGUGUCGCCGUUGAAACUGGCGUGCUCGAGUGCGUGCGAGGAAGGCGGAAUGCGUUGUGUAGCGGUGAAAUGCAUAGAUAUGACGCAGAACUCCGAUUGCGAAGGCAGCAUACCAACUCGCGACUGACGCUGAGGCUCGAAAGCGUGGGUAUCGAACAGGAUUAGAUACCCUGGUAGU
RNAcentral lists this ribosomal RNA (443 nucleotides) under uncultured Porphyromonadaceae bacterium. Its description in RNAcentral is "bacterial SSU rRNA". It matches the Rfam family "Bacterial small subunit ribosomal RNA", at positions 354 to 794 of the family's 1533-position model. Lineage: Bacteria; Pseudomonadati; Bacteroidota; Bacteroidia; Bacteroidales; Porphyromonadaceae. The record is from RNAcentral.